UAAAAUGAUCUAAUGAUAUCUCCCGAAAAUGUAAGAUCUAAGUAUAAUAUAAGGUUAUAGCCUAAAGUUUAAUUACUGUAGCAUUAGUUUGUAAUAAAUAAUAUCUUAGUGGUGAAAGGCCUACAAUUAUGUUGAUAGCUGGAUAAUUACUAAAUAUAUUUAGUUUAUAAUAAAUUUAUGAAGUGAUAAGAUUUCAUAACUAGAAUUUUUUGUAUAAUUUGAAGCUGCUUUUAAUUAAUACUUAAUAGUAUUUGCUUUUAGAAAAAUUAUUUUACUAAUAAAUAUUCUUUAGUAGUAGUUCACUUAGCUUAAUUAAUUUAAAAGUUGAUAAUGUAUAAAUAAGUAUAUUACUAUAAAUUUAACUAAAUAAACUCGGCAAAUAUUAUGUACGACUGUUUAACAAAAACAUAGCCGGUAGUUAUUAUAUUAUCGGUAUGACCUGCCCGGUGAACUUUUAACGGCCGCAGUACUAUGACUGUGCAAAGGUAGCAUAAUCAUUUGACUUUUAAUUGAAGUCUAGCAUGAAAGGAAAAACGUAUAUAAGCUGUAUCAGGUAUAAAUUUAUAUAAAUUAUUUAUAGGGUGAAAAUACCCUAAAUAAGAAAAAUAGACGAGAAGACCCUUAGAAUUUUAAGAAAAAGCAUCACCUAUUAUGAAACGAUUUUUGUUGGGGCAACAUUUUUUCAUAUAAUAAAAAAAAAAUACUAUAACACAACGAAAAAGUUUAAUAAAGAAAAAAUUACCUUAGGGAUAACAGCAUAAUUUUUAAUAAAGAUUGUGACCUCGAUGUUGGACUAGGAACUAUUAAGGCUAGUCGUUUUAAUAUAAUAUGUUCUGUUCGAACUUUAUUUCCUA
RNAcentral lists this ribosomal RNA (854 nucleotides) under Montenegrina dofleini kastoriae. RNAcentral's name for it is "partial 16S ribosomal RNA". The record is from RNAcentral. Lineage: Eukaryota; Metazoa; Mollusca; Gastropoda; Stylommatophora; Clausiliidae.